CAAAUCCGAUUGGGGUGCCCCGUUCCAAGUGGGACAGGGCUGAGAUCAUACCCAUGGAACCUGACGCAGGUCGUGCUGCCGUAGGGAAUCGGAGAGCCGAACAU
Molecule: non-coding RNA, 104 nt
Filed under: Desulfocurvibacter africanus
Lineage: Bacteria; Pseudomonadati; Thermodesulfobacteriota; Desulfovibrionia; Desulfovibrionales; Desulfovibrionaceae
Also listed under: 1 other name
Description: Desulfovibrio africanus TPP sequence
Rfam family: TPP riboswitch aptamer (THI element)
About the family: Vitamin B(1) in its active form thiamin pyrophosphate (TPP) is an essential coenzyme that is synthesised by coupling of pyrimidine and thiazole moieties in bacteria. The previously detected thiamin-regulatory element, thi box was extended, resulting in a new, highly conserved RNA secondary structure, the THI element, which is widely distributed in eubacteria and also occurs in some archaea.
Source: RNAcentral